AGAGUUUGAUCAUGGCUCAGGAUGAACGCUAGCUACAGGCUUAACACAUGCAAGUCGAGGGGCAGCAUGUUGGUUGCUUGCAACCAAUGAUGGCGACCGGCGCACGGGUGAGUAACGCGUAUCCAACCUACCCUUGUCCAUCGGAUAACCCGUCGAAAGGCGGCCUAACACGAUAUGCGGUUCACAGCAGGCAUCUAAGGUGAACGAAAUGUGAAGGAGAAGGAUGGGGAUGCGUCUGAUUAGCUUGUUGGCGGGUAACGGCCACAAGGCUACGAUCAGUAGGGGUUCUGAGAGGAAGGUCCCCCANAUUGGAACUGAGACACGGUCCAAACGUCCCGUACGGGAGGCA
This 349-nucleotide ribosomal RNA is filed under the name uncultured bacterium. RNAcentral describes it as "bacterial SSU rRNA". It matches the Rfam family "Bacterial small subunit ribosomal RNA", at positions 8 to 350 of the family's 1533-position model. The record is from RNAcentral.